CAAUGAAACAAAUGGAAAUAGCUUUAACAAAAAGAUGGGGUAUCCCAUUUCAUCUUCCUCAGCUAGUUUUCAACCUGCUAAACCCUGGGACAUUCAUGGUGAUCAGCUACACAACGGGCCUUCCUACAAUGGUGAUCCUGUCCAUGGGUACCUAGAUGAUAUGCUUAAUGAACAACAGAUGGAAGGAACAGAAGUAAACCCUCUUGAGUUUCUGGCUUCCCAGUUUGCAGGUUUUGCAGCUGAAAGUCUUGCAGAUGUUUAUUUUGCAAAUGGAG
Molecule: long non-coding RNA, 275 nt
Filed under: Lactuca sativa (garden lettuce)
Lineage: Eukaryota; Viridiplantae; Streptophyta; Magnoliopsida; Asterales; Asteraceae
Description: long non-coding RNA (LSAT_LNC008237)
Source: RNAcentral